Molecule: long non-coding RNA, 14902 nt
Filed under: Mus musculus (house mouse)
Lineage: Eukaryota; Metazoa; Chordata; Mammalia; Rodentia; Muridae
Description: long non-coding RNA chr3:148998327-149013229
Source: RNAcentral
CAGAAAACUGAUUUUCCCCGUGUGCUGCUGUAGGUGCUACUGAAGAGUGGCAAACGCAGCCCCUCCCCAGAGAAAUAAGUUGUCUGUAUAAACAGAUAGGCCUGGAGGAGAGGUGGGAACAGACACCAGCCAGCAGAUCGAACAGCACACAUUGGACGCAAGCAGUCCCAGACCGUGCUCAACACACGUGCUCUUCCAAGAGUCACACGGUCCACGAUGUCUUCAUAGAUUCUUCACACAAUUUUUCUCAACUAAAUCUUGUUAUUUUUUCCUCUGAAGAUGUAGUGUUUUUUUUUCUUCACAAAUAAUGCAAACAAUAAUUCCACAAAUUUGGCAAAGUUACAAAAAUGUUUAACAGCUUCUUCUCGGUUUUAAUUUUAAGCAUGCAAGGAAGUCGGGUUUUGUUCAAGACUCUCCUGAGGCAAACAUAUUUGUUCUUUUUGCCAGCUAGGUCCCUGCUUUGGGAGACUCCGCCAAGCUUGACUGUGGUUUUAUUUGUUUGUUUACUUUUGUAGGGCAGUCUUCUCUCUGUUAUCCUGGUUUGAGGUGAGUUCGUUUCGUUUUCAUUUCUCUUUUGGAGCACAAGCCUCAGGAUACAGACUCUUGGUUUCCAAUCGUCAGAGAGGUCUUAACGUCACACAUAGAUUGCGUGGAAUGAUUGUGGUAUUUGGUAAACUUGCACCGUCUCUCACUUAUGGAAAGCCCACCAGUAACACUUGACACUUCACACACGUUGUAUGCUAUGCUCACAGACUGAGAGGGAUUCAGAAGGCAUUAAGUAGAUAUAAUUGUAAAAAGCCCUUGACCUAGCAAAGUAGGACUAUAACAUCUAGGUGUGACAAUAGUCUUUAAAGAAGUCUUUACUUUUAAAGCAUACGUUUUUUAAUUAUGAAGAAGAGUGAGGAGGAAAGAAAUCCCCCCCCCCCGACGUCCUUCCCUGCCCUCACUGCCCUUUUGUUCACAUCCGGCAAUGGAGCCUGCAGCCUUCUGAGUGUGGAGUGGGGGCCAGCACUUUCCCACUGAGCCAUAUUCCCAGCCUGCGCACAUUUUGUAGAAUUGACUCUAAACUCUACAUGACGUAGGAAGUCGUAGGAUUACCUACCACUCAGAGGAGCAGGAUGUGCACCAACGGCUGAGGUCAUUUGGAAACAUGUCACCUGUUCCCAGAGAACCGUGGCUUCCGCAGUAUUCAGCAGCUGCCGUUACUGCUUAUGUAGUAAAUGGGAAUCAGUAUGCAGUCAAGGUGGACUUACUACUAUACCGCUCGGGUCAGCAUCAAGGUUAUAUGGUCCAUCCAUAUAUGACAGACAGCACUUUAGCUGACAUUGGCAAUUAGAAGUAAAACGACCCAGAAAUCUUCCAAGAAUAUAUUUAUUACCAUAUAAGCAUACACACCAUUGUUACUUAUUAACAAAUGGAAUAAAUUUACUUAAAUAGCUUGUUUUGCUCAGUCCACUGAAGUAUUUUUGUAAGCUAUUUGUAAAUUUCACAGAUUGGUGAUUGCAAUCAAAAUUUGAGUGAUUUCCAAAAAUUAACUUAAUAAAAAUGUUGUAUUUGCAUGCCUAUGUUCUUUUUAGUACAGAACACUUUUUAGUAACAUCACAAAUAAGGGCAAUUUGUUGAAGGGGUUUCUAGUGUUUGCUUUAAAUGAUUUUAUUGUUUAUAUGCAUAUAUGUACAUGUGUGUGCAUGCACACGUGCAUGUAUUCAUUGGCAUUUAUACCAAGUUCAGCAAAGUUGAAAUGGUGGUGACUUUGCCAUUUCAAAAAGAACAGCCUCUCUCCUUGGACCCUCCUGUCCCAGUGACCUUCAUGACACAGGAGACCCUCAGAUAUUGUACUCACCGGGACUUUUCACUGUCUCUGUUUCAAACCUCAGCACUCAGGAUUUGUUUAAAGGCAAAACAUUUUGGACACAUUAUGCAUUAUGGUAAAACGCAUCAUACUUCCAUCUUGGCUCACUAUGAAUUACUAAUUUGUCAAGGUCAGAAACCUUACAUCCAGGAACCGGAAAUGCAAAAAUACAUUUUUUAACAUUUUUGGUGAUUUCUUUUUUUCGGCUUGCCAAAUGACCAUAAUUUUACAAUUUGUAUUAAUGUUAUCUUAAAGAGCAAAUUAAUUAAUGGAAAUUUCCAGAGAAGUAGACAUUAUGCCGUCACUUUGCAUGCUGGCUUUGUUUCACUUCUUGCUUUUACAGUCUGGCCUUUUCAUGAAAUUCUCUGGGAAUACUAGUUCAUAGUGUCAAGGGACCUGUACUGACUCUCCCUGUAUCUGUCUUGGAUGAUUUGGGAGUGCUGGGUCUUUAAGAGUCAUUGUAGUGGCCAUCUUUAACAUUGCCUGCUACACAUUUCUGCUGUAUUGGUUUAAUUUGUUAACUCACCACAAGAGUUCCUUAGACUGAGAUUUGGGGGCUGGAGAUGUAGCUCAAAGGUGGAGCAGCGACCUGCCACGUAUCAGGUCCUAGUUUUGGGCAGGGGACAAUUAAGGGGACAUGUAUUACCAGCUUCUGGGGCUUGAGGCGAGGGUACCAGACAGCAUGGUGUAUUCUUAGUCUCACAGGAACCUUGAGUACGGGGUUUUCUCAGUAAACUAAUGUGCAGGCACCAACUUACAGCAUUCUCCAUGAAUCCUAUUGCCUCCUGCAGGCCUAGUGAAGAAUGUCCUGCCAAAGAGUCACCCAGUUUCUACCAAGUGUCUCAUGUUCUCUCAGAAUGGCAUUAGAGGGAACAGAAGUGCAUCUUGACCCGUGUCUGUAUUCUGUGGAAAAUGAGAAGUCAGAGCACCAGGACCGUACGGGAGCUAGGGAGAAGGUAAGAGCCUUACACUGCAGGCAUGAGAGCCUGCGUGGAUCUCACAGAAUGUAUGGAACUGCUAGCGUAACACUACGUGUUUGUGAUCCCAGUGACGGAGCGGCAGAGACAGGAGGAUCCCUGCUUAGCUUUGCUAGCCGGCCGUUCCAGCCAAACUGGCAAGCUCCACGUUCACAGGGGCAGGGUCUCCAACAGUGAUGUGGAGAACAGGAAAGAGCACUGACCUUGACCUUUGGCCUCUAUCCACAUGUGAACUUGCAUCCACACACACAGAUGUGCACAUACAUAUGAAUACACACACACACACACACACACACAAGCACACAAAGACUUUACUUUUGACCCACUUUCCUUCCGUGCAUUUCCUUUUCUUCCAGGAACCCACAAGCCUCUUAUCUAUUUGCUUCAGUGGACACUGCUUUCUGUUCUGAGCAAGCAUGUGAUUCCCAGGUCCCUGUAUAAGACGUGCACACGUGUACUAAGCAGCGGUGAAUCUGCUGUCCCGGGUUCAGAGGGUUCACGUGACAUUAGCACAUUGGGUCCUCCCAGUUCACACUGUGAAGUGUUGUGUUUCCCGGUUGACUGAAGCCCUCAGGCCUCAGUUUUCUCCUCUCCCGCUGGCUGCUACCCCACCCCCACCCUUUGCGGGCUUCCCUAACCCUUUGUUUGCAUCCUGACUUGUUUGCUUCCCUUCUGUGUUUAUCAGAAGCAAAUGCUAUUUUUCAUUAUUGUUGCACCGUGCCAUACCCUGUAAUUAUGUUUCACCGAGGAAGGACACAUGAAAGAAAUCAGACACUUCCCACCAACAGACAGAAGCAAACAACCUUCUGAGGGCUCUUACCUACUGCAGAGUUUAGUAGCCAUAGCUCAUCCAAUGAGUAAGACUCAUGGCAGAGACAGCUAAACACAAAUGUUUUAAGACAAACAAGCUAGGCUUGUGCUUUAAACCACAGUAAUUGAUAGCCCCACACAGACUAAGAUUCUAUUUCUCAAAGGAGAGCAUUUACUUAGAAUCUGGACAAUCUACAGAACCUGAGCUAAGAAUCAUUUUCAAUACCCCAGUUAGGCAUGUUUCCUCUUGACAUCACUGAUGUUUGGUUGUUUGUUUGGGUUUUUGGGUGUGUGUAUGUGUGUGUGUGUGUGUGUUUGAUUGCUUUCUGUUUUUGAAACUGCACUUCUCCAUGUGGCCCUGGCUGUCCAGGAACUCACUCUGUAGACCAGGCUGGCCUUGAACUCAGAGACCCACCUGCCUCUGCCUCCUGAGUGCUGGGAUUGAAGAUGUGUGCCACCACGGCCGGCUGAUGGUACUCUUAGUUUACUCUAUAGUAAGUAUCUCUCCACGAGAUUUCUAGUAUGAUUGCAGGUUCAGACAGAUGCUCAUGGAAUGUUGCUGCAUCAGGUUAUAAGCUGGAAACUUUGAUCAACAUGAAUUUCUGUACAACAUGAGAAUUAUUUACAUGAAAUAUGCUCAUUUUAUAUAUAUGUAAAUUUGGUGAUCCUGGGUAUUAAGCCGUGGAUCUCACAUUUAACGUGGCCUCUCCUCCACUGGGUCAAAUCACACAAUGCUGACUCACAAAAUACCUUUUAUAACAUGUUAAAAUAUGGGAUAAUAUGUAAUUUCUUAAAAAAUUAGAUUCUGCUGUACUGUUGGACUACUUUUCUCUUCAGAAAGUUCCAUCAACUUUUAAUAACUGGUACUUCCCUUACUUUUGUUUUGGAGCACAGGUUAAAGAAUUACCCCGCAACUUCAUUAUUAAAACUUUAUUAGAACAAUUAUCCUGUUAAUUGAUGGGCAGAUUCCAUUAAAUGGAAAUCAUUACAAAUACUGUCCUGUUUGGAAACCGAUAUUGGCUUCUAUGAUUAUGUUGGCCUAGUCUAAAGUAAAUUGACUAAGAGUGAUGGCUCCCUCAACUAAUCCCAGGACUCAGCACGCUGAGACUGGAUAAAGGAGUGUUCAAGACCAGCCUGGUCUACAGUGUUAGUUCAAGGCAAGCCUUGAUAGACUGGGGCAACAAACAGCUCUAAGUGCAAAAUGCUUGCUGAGCAAGUAUAUGCAGACUUCAGACUCCUCCAACCCUGAUCAAACUAGCUAGGCACAGCAGAGCCAAUAGACUCUCCUCAUACUUCUGCGGUGGGAUGGGAAAUGGAGACAAGAAGCUGGAGGGCUAGCCUGAUCUAUAGAGUGCUGAGAAUUGGGAGACAAGAAUCAACCAAGGAGGAGUGUGAGAAUCAGCAGCCAUAAUUGUUCUCAGAUUCCUAUGUGCCUGUCUGUUUGUCUGUCUCAAACUCUCUCUCUCUCUCUCUCUCUCUCUCUCUCUCUCUCUCUCUCUCUCACACACACACACACACACACACACACACACAUUUAAUGUUUAAUUCAUCAUAUCCCUGUCUCAAAAGGAAUACUUCUUUCUUUUUAUCAGGCAAGGCUCUUAAAAAUGACAUUAAUAAAAAUUAAACUUUCAUUAAUGAUAGUACCUAUUUUCUAAAUUUUUUUCACCCUAUUUCCAUUAAUCUGACAAACUGAAAACUAACCGAUAAAAGUCAGUAAGCCGAAUGAAUGAUUAGACCAAUUUCUUGGUUCAUACAAGAAAAAUAGAAGGAGAGAAUACUGUUCUCCUCUAUGGUCUAUGGCUCUCGAUAGACGACAUAUUUUACAAAGUAAAGGUCCUACCCCUUAUGCUUCCUAACAGGCCAAUGAAUCCACGCCCGGCUGAGUCCUUCAUGUUCACGCCUUAUUCAAACUCUACAGUUUAGUUUGGUCUGGAUUGGGUAAACAUCAUUUGAAGUCAUUUGCUCUGCAGAAGUUUGAGAAAUGUGACAACUGAGUUGUGUGGUUCAUCCUUUCACAGAAGCCACAGAUGCUGUUUUUCAAAAUAAAAAUGAAAUGGAAGAUUCUUCAGUUUUGCUCACUAACCUUGAAAAAGACCUAUAGAGAAAAAAAAAUCCAAAACUAGUCUGGUCCUAUGAAGGGUGUGUUUAUUUCCCCUUGGUUAAAGUUACAUUUAAGCUUUUGCUCGUGUUCCUUUGUUUGUGGAGGAGCAUCUUACUGAGUAGCCCUGGCUACCCUGGAACUUGCCUCUGACUCUGGAGUGCUGGGACUAAAGGUAUUCACCAUCAUACCAUCAUGCCCAGCCCUAAGAUCCACCGCCCUCUCCCACUUCCAUUCCCAGUCCUUUUUCCCUCCUCCUGCCUCCUCCCCCCAACCCCCCACUUCUCUCCAAGAGUCUUAUGCAUGCUGUGUGUUCUAACACUGAGCCAAGUGUGCCUUCCAACUUUCCAAGAGCAACAGAAAUGGGGAAGCUCUUAAGAGAUUGCCAAUACUGAGAACAACACCUAAUGAGGCCAGGGAGAACUCACUGAAUCCAAAGCCGGCCAGUUACUCCUCCUCCAUACCUGGCCCUGACAUCCUAGGGUCUUUCUCUGUCUUCUCCUCUCAACAGUAAGUAAUUUCACUCCAGGAUUACCACUCCCACAGAGACAUCCUUCCUUCCCAACUCUAUUGCACCUCCUCAAUGAAGAAUUCAACCGUUUUAAAGUGAAAUCACCUCAAGCAACAACCAUGUCCAUAUCCCCCACCUCAGUUCUGACAAAAAAAAUUCUUAUGAGGAAGAAGGGUCUCACGGUCUCUGAUAAGUACUGAAGAAAGAUAAUGAAAAAUCUCCUGUGGAAUGUUCCAGGUUCCCACCAUCAAUUGUAGUGAUACGAUAUAGGGCAGAAGGUAGAACUACAUCACUCUUGAACCAGCCUUCCCUUCCAGACAAAACAAUCAACUCAAGAGACAAAGACCUCAGGUCAACUGGGCAUAACUAAACUAUACUAUUAGUUAACAGGUGGGCUCCAAAUGCAGACACUAGUUUAUAAUUAAUUUUGUGAAAGUCUAGUCAUUCUCUGUAGUUAGAAAAUGAAUCUUGGGUUAGAGUCAGUCCCUCUACCCCUCAUUGGCAGAUUGUAGGGAUAAAGUAAUAGGCUAGAUUUCUUGGCUACCUAGAGAUACUUUUCUGUGAGGAUCCCACUUCGUGUAUUUAGUUGGGGUGGAAGUUGUGGGCAGGUCGAGAGAGAAAAAAGCACCACCUCUGUAUCAGAUGCUGACGUUCCAAGGUUUCUUUCUCUCAGGACAGGAGUGUGCUGAUGUGUGCUGGUAGCUGCCGGGUAGUUUAGGGCCUGCAUCUCUUUUUGCCUACUGAUGUCCAAGCCCAAGCAGAUGAGCUAUGCCUUAUUAAAUAUUUUUCUUUUUUUCUCUAUUUUAAUCUUCCUCCAAGAGUGCUGGAGAGUAAGCGGGACCAGCAUGGGGCCCCUGGAUUGAUCUCUGUUUGUUCCUUCUAAUCCCGCCUAUAGUAGAUGUUCUUGCCUGGAACAGUUUGUUUUUAGAUCUGAGAGAGCCCUGGGUUUCCCAUCACCACCUUACAUGGAAAUGUGUAGACUGUAAGAAUAAGUUCUUUAGAAAAGUGAGCUAGAGUUUUUGUUGUUGUUGUUAUUCUUGUUGUUUUUUUAAGUGUGUGUUUCAGCCUUGGCAGUGGAUUCUUUGGCAGUUGUGUGGCCCAGAGGGAACCAGACGCAGAGAAAAGUCAAGCCAGGUAUGUUGUGCCUGCCUGCACCUGCUUCUGAUGUACCCCACUGCCUGCAUCCAAGUCCUGUGCACUGGGCUAGAAUAAUGUGGAAAUGGCAGGUGUGCAUGGAGUAUCUGCCUGCCCAUCAGCUCUGUGAUAAAUCGGGAAAAUAAUGGCAUAGAGAAGUUAACUUGCCCAACCAUGAACAAAAUAUUAGAAGCUGCAUCUUUGAGACUGUGUAAGCGUAUGUUCAGGCCGGGCACAGGUCUCAGUUUUCAAAAAAGCAGCCUUACACAGCAGCCUAAUCUAUCAAUUACAAGCAAAUAUGUUUGCUGUGAUUCGGGCAAGACAACAUCGGCUGCACCCUUCCUCAUCCUCUCUACGACACCUUCAGCACCGUCAUGCAGUUUGGCCUGCUCUUCAGAGAGGGAAACCCUGUGACCUACAAAAUGCUGUAGCCCCAGCCCACUCUGUAUUCUUCACCUUGGUAAAUAAUUCACUCAACAAACAUACUGUGUAGCUAUUGAGUGCUAGACUCGAGGAAUACAAAGAUAAAUAAACACUGUCUGUCAUGAGGAAGCUCGAGCGAGAGGAGGAAGACAGGGAAGAUAAAAGUCAAAGAGAGCAGGCACUGUUGUAACAGGAUCCUUCCUUCAGGUCCGUCCACCCAAGAGAGAAAAAGGCUUGUCCUUUUAGCAGAUGGGAAAAGUAAAGUCUGAAGGGAGGGAGGCCCUGUCAUGCUUCUCUUGAGAAAUGCAAAGAGAAGUGACACCUGGUCUCGGGAAUGCCAAAACCUAGGGAAUGCAUGCAGCCCGCACGCAGUUUGUUGUAAAUCUGCAGAAGCAUAAACUCUCUAUACAGAGCAGGAUUCAAAAUGUAAAUCGCUUCAAUCAAAAGGGAAAAUUCCAUAGAAACCUACAGGUUAAGCUAUUAGAAGUAUCUCCAUCGGAGCACCACCCUUCAGAAGCACGAUUAAACUCCUAAUAUCUCUGUCCCUGUUCCCAGUCUCUUUCAGAUACAGGGGUAGCCGUUCAGAUUUCCAGUCCACCGAGGUAGAAGCAAGCCUCCCUCCCGGCUAUUCGUAGAGAAUAAUAAGGUGUGGGUGAGAUGUACCUGCCUAAGAAGGGGGCUGUCUAACAGUUGUAAUGAGCUGUGAUGUUAUCCCCAAUGAGCUGUGUGUGAGAGACCUUAGGCAAAUCAAUUAACCUUUGCUGGUUACAAUUUGCUCAUCAGUAAAAAUAGAGGUUUUGGACCUUUCAUUCCCAAGGGCUCUUCUUCGUUGUCGAGGUGUCGCGUCAGCACCUUGAGAGGCCACUCUGCUGAGUGGGAGGUUUGAGCAGCCUCAGAAUCAACCUGCCAUUCCGAACCUGCCGAGUAUUCCAUGGGCAUGGCAAUAUUAAAGCUAGAGGGAACCUUCCCGAUUUCUUGGGCACAAAGAAUCAGGAAUGUUUCUUCGCAUAAAACAUUGAAUUUGUGUGAGUGUAUGUUCAUGUCUGUCUGUGGAGACUAGAGAUCAACCCUGAGUUCUGCCUUGUUUGUUGAGACAGGGCCCUUCUCUGACCUGGGACUCAUCAGUAACAGCUCGACUCCCAGCAAGCCUCAAGGGAUCUAUCUGCCCAUCUUGGCUUCUCCGGCAUUGGGAUUGAGUGCCUGGCACCAUCCCUGGUUCUUCUGCAUAGGUUAAAAACGGCCGACUCAGGACCUCAGGCAGACACUUUAUAACUGAAAUAUUAACCCAAUAAAUAUUAAUUGAUUUUAGGCCUCUAUUUUAAUUAUAAUUAGGCCAAGCAGAUUGGGAGGUUAGCAAAUAGGCCUUACUAGUUAGAAGCUAUGAACCUGCAUAUACCUCCACUGACCCAUGAUGGAGAGACACUGGAGAAAAUUCUCGGUGAAUGUAAAUGGCAGGCCCGACAUGAGAUAAGAAUUUAGGUCUGUACUGUACCCUUUCUGGCCAGGGGAGGUAAGAGAUUCUUUCCUCCUACAGAGCACAAAAUUGAUACCACAGCAACACACCUUGGCAUUGGGGAUUUUAGUCUCCAGGUAUCUGCAGAAACUUGAAUUCCUUGGAAAGCAAAACACUCACAAUUUCUUGACCAGCCUUGCUGAUAAUUUCAUUUCCCAGAAGGCAGAGUAAGCAUUAAGGAGACUUCUGCUCAGGACCCAAUUCUGACAGAAAGCAGUAGGUAAAGUAGAAAUGAUUGGAACCUUGGGGGAAAGCAGCCAUGCAGGCUCCGAGUUUGAUUUAAACAGUGUUCUGCCUAUGCAAACACAAAUGGUUCUAAUGAGCAGGAAAACGGGGAGGAAACUAAAGGAACCAGCACGCCACACGGGGACUUGCUGACAGCCUCUGAAUCUCAAGCAGCAUGUGCAAGAGACGGGGAGAGGGGCACACAAGAGGGAACACAUACGGAAGCAGGAAUGGAGGAAGGCAGCGUGGACCUGUAAGCCCUCAGCAAGACUGGGGCACAGAAUGAGCCGAGGCUCCUGGAGGAUGCUGGAAAGAAGCAAAAAACGCUGUUGCUUGGCACAGAAUCAGGGGAAACAGCAACCAAGGAACAGACCCAGACCUUGACACGGAAGACUAAUUCAUUCAUGAAAGUAGGAAAGCAGAUGCAAAAGAAGUGCAUCCUUUUGUGCAUCUUCCCUUUAGGUCAUCCACCCCUUGGCUCACGUGUCACCUCCUCGGAGAGGACCUUGACCACACCUUUGGAAAACAGUUUCCCCUGAUAUCUUUUUGCCCUUUGACUUUUCAGUCUCCUGGCUGCUGGUGCCGUCAUCUUACGCACUGAAAUGUUUGCUUUCUGUCCCGGAAUUUAAGCUCCGCUUGGAAAGGGACCUCUGUUCUCGCUCAUGCCUGUCUAGGACCUUGCACAUAACAAGCAGUACUCGGUGGGCAUGAGCUCGGCGAGUGGAGUCAGUACCACAAGGCUAGCUUUGUAAACAGAGAAAUAUAUGAAGGCACUGGACAACUUCCACAGAACAUAGACAACGUGAUUGACAUGGUGGCAGGUAGUAUGAGUAACCACUUGUGUGCUCUAAUUACCAUACUGACUCUCUGCAUCUUGGGAUAUUCCUGAGUUACUUCUCAAUAAGCUUUCAACCGCAGCAGUGCACACCCAGCUAACAUGGGAGCCAUGAGCGUCAAGGAUGGGUCUCAGUAUAGAACUUAUAUUCUCCACCCGAGGAGCUGACUGGCUGAGCUGUCAGCAUGUCUCUCGAGCUCUAUGAAUCAUUACCAGACACUUUCUCAGUGAUAGGGUGAAAAGUGUGACCGGCUGUCUUUAUCAAAUCAGGGUUGUCAGGAGGCACAGGGAAGAAUAUCCCUGAUCUUAGAAGAAAAACAAAACAUGCAGAGCCUGAGAAUUUAGGUCUAAGACAGCGGUGUUAUUUUAGGGAGGAUGGCUAAGUUAUAUUUAUAUAAACAUGAAAAACAUUGUGGUCAUUUUAUAAGAUUAAAAAUCAGGAAAACUAUUCCCCUAAGAAAGAAUAAGCUAGCUUGUUUGAGUCUAUAUAUCAUUUCCUGGAAAAGUUAGUAAACAAUUUAGCUUUGUAAUGGGUACAAUGUGCGGAUUUUGGCCUGGCCUCUGAAGUCCUUCUAUCCUUGUGAGCUGGAUGGGAAACGUCAGGCUUAGGGAUAAUUCUGUAGUGUGCUUUUUACCUAGUUGGAGGAUUGCCCCAAUCGCAGUGUUAAUGAAACGGCAUCUACCUAGAGAAAGCUUUCAGAUUGAUACCACAAGGCCUUUGUCUCUCUCCUUGUCUGAUGUGAGCACGUUUGUCAGUGACGGGAGAUAAAGCAAGAGGAAGGCAUGGCUGUCAAAAUCGGGUUACAGGAGAACAAGAUGAUACAGUAGAUUACGAAAUCAGGGGUGCAUACAUGUUCUCAGCAACUGAAAGAUGCAUAAAAUUUAAUAAUAUAUAAUUUGGUUAGAGUAAUUGUGUGGGCCUGCCUGGGGACUAAAACGCCAACUGCCUAAAUUUGGUUUGAAGUCUAUGUGACUUAGCAACAGUACUCCUGGGGGAAGAGAAAGAGAAGAGAGCCUUGCCUGGCAGAGAGCCACGGGGGUGAUGGUUGCAAACAACAAGACAGAAGUAGUUGAGACUGUGUGAUAAAUUUAGAGCAUUCAGAAAAUAAUGGAGGGUAUAGUUAGUCCAGCCCCACUUUCAGUGGCUUAGACUGCCAUGCUCGGUUCUGGAAGCAGCGUUUGAAGGAAGGGACCAGUGGAAGAGACAAACCCCCAGGAUCCAGCAGAGAGAAUGGUAGACUUCACUGUCUCCUGUGAGAGAAGACUGAAAAGGUUGGGGAUUUUUAUGCCAUAAAAGAAUUACACUUAAUCAUUUUAUCAUAAUAGCGUCAUGAUUUUAAUCACUAGUGAGGAGUGACUGUUUUCUAGAUGCUGUGUUAACCAUUUUGCUUUAAUUAAUGCUCACAACAACUCUAGGACAUGAGUUCAGAACUAUUUUUAUAUUCAAGGGUACAAAGUGAUUUUAGGUGAUAAAUGCUAGACAGACAUCAAAGCUUAAAUUUUAACCCAUUGUCUUCUCAGUCCUUAAGUCUGAUCUUCCUCACCACAUGCAAACUAAUUACCCAUAACGUAGGCCCAGAUAUUAAGAAGUGUGUAUACGUUUCUAUUAUGUAUGAUAAAAUUAUGUGAAAUAUCAGAAAAUCAAAAUAAUAUGCAGACAAAAAGAGACUGGAAAUAGACAUAUCAACGUUUUAACAACAGUUAUACUAAGGUACUGAGAAAAAUCACCUUUCUUUUAUUUAUUUCUUUUAAGUUUGGAAAACUUUUUUACUAAGCUUAUCUUGAUUUUGUAAAACUCCCACCUGCAGCUUUUGAAUUAAAAAAUAAUUACUAUGUCAAAGAGGAAUUAGUUUAUUUUAGAUGCCCAAAAGGAGUUGUAUUAAGAUUAAAACACCUAAAAGCAUUAUAAGACACAUUUCAAUAUAAAAACAGAACCACUUAUAGUCGAUUUUUUGAAGAGUUGAUUUUUUUAAAUUAAUUAAUUUCUUAGAGGCAGAGCCUCAUGUAACCCAUAUACACCUUAAACUCUCUUUAUAGCUAAAUAUGGCCUUGGAAUGUCACCCUUCUGUUUUGCAUGUUGAAUGCACCACAGUUUCUUUAUACAGAGCCUGAGGCUGAACCCAGGCUUCAUACCUGCAAGGUAAGUGUCCUCCGAGCUGAGACUCAUCCCCAGUUCUAGAGACAGUGUCUCGAUAACAUAACUCACGCAUUCCUUUCUCAGGAGAUGCCGACAAAAGUCUGGGAGCAGCUUGGCAUCAUUUGAUUCCAUCCAGAUUACAAUUUAUAAAGCUCAGAAUGUCCAAAGUACGAGCCAGGAAAAAAAAAAAGAAGAAGAAGAAGCCAAAGAGUAAUUGUUGAAUAUUUCAUUUUUAUUUUUUACUGAGACCUUACAGACUGCAAGCAGAUCUAGUAAAAUAUUUCUCUACUGAGUACAAGGGACACUCAGCAUCGGGAGAGCACAGCACAGGUAGCUCUUCACUUCUGCAGCAGUCUGUUUGCACAGGAUGCAGGGAUGGGCAACAGGAGCCAGCCUCACUUGCUCAAUCAAGUCCCAGGUGGCCCCUGGCUCCUGGGAUCUGAGUGCAAGUGGUAGCCCUGAGAAGUGACCUUUGGCAUGACCUUGUAUCCUAUGCACACCUUUGCCUCUAUGCAGGCUCCCACACAUGCCACUCCCACCUUCUGAGUUUCUAAAUAGAUAACCAAAUGAGCAUACUCAUUUACAUAUUGUUAUGGAUCCUGAACUCAGUCUCACAAAUGUGAGGCGAACAUUCGACCACUGAGUUCCACUUUACACACACACAGACAAACUAACACUUAUGUUAUCUAAGUAAAACGUUCUAUAAACACAAGAAGGAUGCCUUUUUUUUUUUUUUACAUUUUCCUAGAUUAUAUAACACUUAAAAUACUAGGCACAAAACAAAUAUUUAGUGACUUAAUCAAUUUGGCAGAUAGGCACAACAAGCUUUUGCUUUUGAAUCUAAGGAUGAUCAACAAGACUCUGAUUUUAUACAGAGUGAAGUUGAAUGCAUCACAAUUGUAUUAUUUGUUUCUCUUCUUUUUUAAUGUUUUAUUUAUUCAUUCAUUCAUUUAUUUAUGUGAGUAUACUGUCACUGUCUUCAUGCAUACCAGAAGAGGGCAUCGGAUCCCAUUACCGAUGGUUGUGAGCCACCAUGUGGUUGCUGGGAAUUGAACUCAGGACCUCUGGAAGAGUAGUCAGUGCACUUAACCACUGAGCCAUCUCAGCCCCCUUGUUGCUCUUCUCUAUAAACUCACGUUCUUAUCUUGAGUCGAUACUAAAACCUAUUCCCCUUCUCAUUAAACCAGGUUUCACAGCUUUUGAUUGCCUAUGAAUCCAAAAUUUAAGGCAGAAACAGGAGGACAGAGUUCAAGGUCAUCUUAGAUCACCAAUUGAGUUCCAGGCCAUCCUUGUAUAAAUCGGAUCCUAUCUCAGCAUCAGUCAAUCAGUUACCCCAAACUUUUGAUGCACAGCUCUAGUUAGGAACCAUAGACAGCAGACUUCAGCUGGGUAAAUAGUGCAGAGCUGAUUUUGCUGCCAACGAUCCAGGGAGUUUACUAGAAAACUAUGGAUGCUUUCAUCAGAAUGGAAAGAAGCUGAGUUUUGCUAGAAUACUUCAGGCAUGAAGAACAGAACCUAUACUAAGCCAGUCAUCUUGAAAGUGGGGGAGCUUUGUACAUGGUUGGCAAGCACUCUACCUACGUACGCUGCAACACCAGCCACACAUUGUUCAUGUAAUGUACUAGUUUCUUGUUUAAGCUAAACAGAAAAGUCAUUUUGUAGUUAUUGUUUAUUUGUUACUAUUGAGUUUUGCCAUGGUAGCACUCAGCUGACGAGAACACUCUCCAUAUUCAGCCUCUCCAACAUUGGAAUCACAGGCCCAUGUGCCACCCCACCCCACCCAGACAGGACUUCCUUUUGAUUCAAAAGGUACAAUUUAGGGACUAAUUUGAACUAUAAGUUUUACCCUCCCGGACUGGGACUAUAGCUUAAGGUCACGGGCCACUUUGAACAGGCAGUAUUGCCCACUGAGCUAUGUUCCUUGAGCACCAAGGUCCUGCACUAAGACCCAGGAUGCUGAUUGGGUCCCUUCUGGGGAUGACGUUCCCUGUUGAUGGACAUCGCUGCUCUCCUCAUCACAGCAAGCCAUGCGCACCCUGCUCAGUGCUUCAAGGAUAAAGGUGUUUCAGUACUCAGCAACCUUUUGGGUGAAAAAUUAGUCCUUAAAUCAGUACAGUGAGGAAAUCUAAUGACUCCCAAUAUCACGAAAGAUGAAAACUUAAAGCAAGUAAAUGAGAAGGGAAGAACUUCUAACUCAGUGUAACAUGUGUUCAAAACACCUCUUACUUGAUGGGGAAAUAUCUGAAGCCUUUGCUACCUAGGGUAGCAUACAUAAAGAUGAGGAAAAAACAAUUGAACAGAAGAUAGUCUUCUAUCUGGAGAAAAGUAUAAAAAUGAAUAGAAACAGGUUUACUGAGUACAAAUUAUUAAGAAGUUACAUGCGA